GACGAACGCUGGCGGCGUGCUUAACACAUGCAAGUCGAACGGAAAGGCCCUGCUUUUGUGGGGUGCUCGAGUGGCGAACGGGUGAGUAACACGGGAGUAACCUUCCCUUGACUUGGGGAUAACUUCAGGAAACUGGGGCUAAUACCGGAUAGGAGCUCCUGCUGCAUGGUGGGGGUUGGAAAGUUUCGGCGGUUGGGGAUGGACUCGCGGCUUAUCAGCUUGUUGGUGGGGGAGUGGCUGACCAAGGGUUUGACGGGUAGCCGGCCUGAGAGGGUGACCGGCCACAUUGGGACUGAGAUACGGCCAAGAGUCCUACGGGAGGCAGCAGUGGGGAAUAUUGCACAAUGGGCGGAAGCCUGAUGCAGCAACGCCGCGUGCGGGAUGACGGCCUUCGGGUUGUAAACCGCUUUCGCCUGUGACGCAGCGUGAGUGACGGUAAUGGGCAAAGAAGCACCGGCUAACUACGUG
RNAcentral lists this ribosomal RNA (468 nucleotides) under uncultured bacterium. RNAcentral's name for it is "partial 16S ribosomal RNA". It matches the Rfam family "Bacterial small subunit ribosomal RNA", at positions 28 to 507 of the family's 1533-position model. The record is from RNAcentral.